Molecule: ribosomal RNA, 253 nt
Filed under: uncultured bacterium
Lineage: Bacteria
Description: partial 16S ribosomal RNA
Rfam family: Bacterial small subunit ribosomal RNA
Source: RNAcentral
UACGAAGGGUGCAAGCGUUACUCGGAAUUACUGGGCGUAAAGCGUGCGUAGGUGGUUCGUUAAGUCUGAUGUGAAAGCCCUGGGCUCAACCUGGGAAUGGCAUUGGAAACUGGCGAUCUAGAGUGCGGUAGAGGGCAGUGGAAUUCCCGGUGUAGCAGUGAAAUGCGUAGAGAUCGGGAGGAACAUCUGUGGCGAAGGCGACUGCCUGGACCAGCACUGACACUGAGGCACGAAAGCGUGGGAAGCAAACAGG